This 47-nucleotide transfer RNA is filed under the name Klebsiella pneumoniae. RNAcentral's name for it is "tRNA-Lys". It matches the Rfam family "tRNA", at positions 1 to 46 of the family's 71-position model. From Rfam's summary of the family: Transfer RNA (tRNA) molecules are approximately 80 nucleotides in length. RNAcentral also lists the same sequence under 2 other names. The record is from RNAcentral. Lineage: Bacteria; Pseudomonadati; Pseudomonadota; Gammaproteobacteria; Enterobacterales; Enterobacteriaceae.
GGGUCGUUAGCUCAGUUGGUAGAGCAGUUGACUUUUAAUCAAUUGGU